RNAcentral lists this unclassified non-coding RNA (340 nucleotides) under Hevea brasiliensis (rubber tree). The record is from RNAcentral. Lineage: Eukaryota; Viridiplantae; Streptophyta; Magnoliopsida; Malpighiales; Euphorbiaceae.
UGGAGAGCCAAUCUGUCGCGCCAGCUGAAGGAGCUCCGCUUCCUCUUCUGCCAGACCUCGCCGGCGAGCUCCCAGACUCGGGAGUUCGUGCUCAAGAAUUACACAGAUCUGAAGACUCAGAAUCCGAAGUUCCCGAUCCUGAUCCGCGAGUGCAGCGGGAUUGAGCCUCAGCUGUGGGCGAGAUACGAUAUGGGCGUUGAGAGAUGCGUCCGCUUGGAUGGUUUGAGCGAAUCUCAGAUCAACCAGAAACUGGAGGAGCUUGUCAAGGCCGGAGAACCGAUUAAGGGUUGAUGGUGGUACUUCCAUAGAGAAUUCCCGUUGAAAUAAAACAGGAUGUUGG